AGCGAACGCUGGCGGCAGGCCUAACACAUGCAAGUCGAACGAACCUUUCGGGGUUAGUGGCGGACGGGUGAGUAACACGUGGGAACGUGCCUUUAGGUUCGGAAUAACUCAGGGAAACUUGUGCUAAUACCGAAUGUGCCCUUCGGGGGAAAGAUUUAUCGCCUUUAGAGCGGCCCGCGUCUGAUUAGCUAGUUGGUUGAGGUAAUGGCUCACCAAGGCGACGAUCAGUAGCUGGUCUGAGAGGAUGAUCAGCCACAUUGGGACUGAGACACGGCCCAAACUCCGACGGGAGGCAGCAGUGGGGAAUCUUGCGCAAUGGGCGAAAGCCUGACGCAGCCAUGCCGCGUGAAUGAUGAAGGUCUUAGGAUUGUAAAAUUCUUUCACCGGGGACGAUAAUGACGGUACCCGGAGAAGAAGCCCCGGCUAACUUCGG
RNAcentral lists this ribosomal RNA (433 nucleotides) under uncultured bacterium. RNAcentral's name for it is "partial 16S ribosomal RNA". It matches the Rfam family "Bacterial small subunit ribosomal RNA", at positions 29 to 506 of the family's 1533-position model. The record is from RNAcentral.